CUAGCCCUGACACAGGUGGCUUCCCGUAUCCCGGUGGGAAAACGCCCUGCCACCAGCGGGCUUGAGCUGGCCUGUGUCCCUCCACCGCCUGCACCACCCACCUCCAGAGUGCAGUGCUGGGCAAGGGCAGCUCAAGAGGACAGGACCAGGCGCUUGGCAAGACAUCAGACACACCCAACCCAAAGGCGUGGACCCCAGGCCCGGCCCGUGGUACCCAGCAGGUGGCACUGCAGCUCCCCGCUCCUGCAGGUCCAGCGUCCUCACAGGAACACCAGGGCCUGUGCUCCGGAGCCUUCCUUCAGACCCUUCCUCCACGUGCCCACUUGGGAUGCAGAAUGCAGCGGAGCUAGGACCCCCUCCACGGCCUGGACCUCGGCUGCAGUAAAGUUACGUGAGGCCUGUCUCUCGGGGCCUGGAAGUGGCAGCCAUCAGUUGCUCUUGCUGACCCCUCGGAGCAAGCGCCGCACAGGUGGUGGCUGAGACAGCUGGCGCGGGGGGCCCCAAGCUGCGCCGGCCUCCAGCCCACCCACAGCUGUUGCUGAAGUCAGGCCUCCCUCCCCAGCACUGGUUUCUCUGACGGCCCCACGGCCCGAGCCGCGGUGAGCGUCGUGUUGCAUGAGCCUGGGCCCCGGGCUUCCCGUGCGCCUCUGCCGCAGGUGCUUCUGGGCACCCAUCCUCUGCGUUUCAUUUGCAGUCGACUGUACAGAAGGCACUCACCACAAUAAACCUUUCCU
RNAcentral lists this long non-coding RNA (734 nucleotides) under Homo sapiens (human). Its description in RNAcentral is "HSALNT0001121". The record is from RNAcentral. Lineage: Eukaryota; Metazoa; Chordata; Mammalia; Primates; Hominidae.